Molecule: non-coding RNA, 101 nt
Submitted as: unclassified sequences
Source: Rfam
AUAAUGAUACUUCCGUCCAGUCACAGUCCGAGCGGUAACCAAUCCGUCGCAGGCAAUGAGGACGGCCGCGGGUGAUCCUCGCGGUGGUGAGAUUCCAAUGU